AAAGACCAAGAGGAAAGGAAGCACAAUCAGAGGAGGCGAGAAGAGGAUUAGCGCUUUGUUUACGCUAAUUGUAGCCUCGGCUAUUUUGGUGUUCUCCUAGUCCGACUCUCCCAAAUCUUCCGUUUUCAUUUUGAAUGUGAGGAAGAAGUGGCUUUGAGGAGAGAUGGAUUUACAGCGAGUGAUUCAUCAGUGCUUUGCUGUGAACACUUUGAUGAGACGGGUCAGAUUGUCCCACUCCGAGAUGGUGUUAUUCCAUCAGUCUUCAGCUUCCCGGUUCACCUCCAAAAAUUGGAGAAGGGCAGGUCUACCUCCACCUCCAGAAGAGCUGAUGAAUGUCUGUCCGGCCUCUCAGGAUUCCCAAGAAAUGGCAACCUCACACCCACAGCCUCAGCCUAAUGAUGUGCAUAUUUCUACUUUAAACAUCAUAUAAUAAUGUUUUGGACAUAUUAGAAUCUCACUUGUUUGCUGCCACUCAUAUUAAACACACUUACAAAUAAACCUUUUUUUAAAAUAUUUUAAUCUGUGUAUAUUACGGUUGCUUUGUUUUGUCUGUUAUGUAAAGGGUCUUUGAGCACUGUGUAAAGUGCUAUAUAAAUAUGUAUUAUUUUUUAUUAUUAUUAUAAGGUGCUGAGAGCUGCAGAGAGGGUGAUCCAACAACACAAGCUCCUGAGGCGUCGACAGUCACACACAUCGUCCGACAGGAGAUUGGAACGGAUGAUGGUUUUUUGCUUGGGGAACACAUGAAGACACAGUUUGGCAUCGACAACCAUCACUCAGACUUGUUGUCAUUGGUUGUCAAGAAGCUCUGCAAGACAGUCC
Molecule: long non-coding RNA, 819 nt
Organism: Gasterosteus aculeatus aculeatus (three-spined stickleback)
Lineage: Eukaryota; Metazoa; Chordata; Actinopteri; Perciformes; Gasterosteidae
Source: Ensembl